This 1226-nucleotide ribosomal RNA is filed under the name metagenome. RNAcentral's name for it is "bacterial LSU rRNA". It matches the Rfam family "Bacterial large subunit ribosomal RNA", at positions 1685 to 2925 of the family's 2925-position model. The record is from RNAcentral.
GGGGCGCGAGAUAACUCUCUCUAAGGAACUCGGCAAAAUGACCCCGUAACUUCGGGAGAAGGGGUGCCAUCGAAAGGUGGUUGCAAUAAAGAGGCCCAGGCGACUGUUUACCAAAAACAUAGGUCUCUGCUAACUCGUAAGAGGAUGUAUAGGGGCUGACGCCUGCCCAGUGCCGGAAGGUUAAGGAAGUUGGUCAGUCUUCGGAUAAAGCUAGCGACUGAAGCCCCGGUGAACGGCGGCCGUAACUAUAACGGUCCUAAGGUAGCGAAAUUCCUUGUCGGGUAAGUUCCGACCCGCACGAAAGGCGUAACGAUCUGGGCGCUGUCUCGAAGAGAGGCUCGGCGAAAUAGGAUUGUCUGUGAAGAUACGGACUACCUACACUUGGACAGAAAGACCCUAUGAAGCUUUACUAUAGCCUGGAAUUGUGUUCGGGCUUCCCUUGCGCAGAAUAGGUGGGAGGCGUUGAAAGUAGUCCUGUGGGAUUACUGGUGCCGUCGGUGAGAUACCACUCUAGGGAGGCUAGAAUUCUAACUUCAACCCGUAAUCCGGGAGAAAAACAGUUUCAGGUGGGUAGUUUGACUGGGGCGGUCGCCUCCAAAAAGGUAACGGAGGCGCACAAAGGUUCCCUCAGGCUGGAUGGAAAUCAGCCUGAGAGUGUAAAGGCACAAGGGAGCUUGACUGCGAGAGAGACAACUCAAGCAGGUAGGAAACUAGGUCUCGUGAUCCGACGGUGCUGCGUGGAAAGGCCGUCGGUCAACGGAUAAAAGUUACUCUAGGAUAACAGGCUGAUCUCCCCCAAGAGUUCACAUCGACGGGGAGGUUUGGCACCUCGAUGUCGGCUCAUCGCAACCUGGGGCUGAAGUAGGUCCCAAGGGUUGGGCUGUUCGCCCAUUAAAGCGGUACGUGAGCUGGGUUCAGAACGUCGUGAGACAGUUCGGUCCAUAUCCCGUGUAGGCGCAAGAGCAUUGGGAGGAGUCUUCCUUAGUACGAGAGGACCGGGAAGAACGCACCGCUGGUGUACCAGUUAUCGUGCCAACGGUAAACGCUGGGUAGCCAAGUGCGGAGAGGAUAACCGCUGAAAGCAUCUAAGUGGGAAGCCCACCUCAAGAUGAGUGCUCUCAUGGAGUAAUCCAGUAAGGUCACGGGAAGAACACCCGUUAAUAGGCGUUAGGUGGAAGAGCAGCAAUGUUUGCAUCCGAGACGUGCUAAUAGACCGAGGGCUUGAC